GCGGUGGACGUUCUGCAGGAUCAGCGGGAACGAUCGCUCGCCCAGGUACCUCUUCCGCGGCUCCCCCACCGUGCAGCUCGGCGGAUCGGCCCAGAACGCCUUGUAGUAGGCGCCGCGGUAGUAGUAGCAGGUGAGUCGGAACCCGCCCGGCGCCCAGAGGAUGAAGAACGCAG
RNAcentral lists this unclassified non-coding RNA (173 nucleotides) under fungal sp. RNAcentral's name for it is "partial internal transcribed spacer region". Lineage: Eukaryota; Fungi. The record is from RNAcentral.